CCUACGGGUGGCAGCAGUGGGGAAUAUUGGACAAUGGGCGAAAGCCUGAUCCAGCCAUGCCGCGUGUGUGAAGAAGGCCUUCGGGUUGUAAAGCACUUUCAGUGGGGAAGAAAGCCUUGGGGCUAAUACCCUCGAGGAAGGACAUCACCCACAGAAGAAGCACCGGCUAACUCCGUGCCAGCAGCCGCGGUAAUACGGAGGGUGCGAGCGUUAAUCGGAAUUACUGGGCGUAAAGCGCGCGUAGGCGGUCUGAUAAGCCGGUUGUGAAAGCCCCGGGCUCAACCUGGGAACGGCAUCCGGAACUGUCAGGCUAGAGUGCAGGAGAGGAAGGUAGAAUUCCCGGUGUAGCGGUGAAAUGCGUAGAGAUCGGGAGGAAUACCAGUGGCGAAGGCGGCCUUCUGGACUGGCACUGACGCUGAGGUGGGAAAGCGUGGGUAGCAAACAGGAUUAGAUACCCUUGUAGUC
This 465-nucleotide ribosomal RNA is filed under the name Vreelandella stevensii. RNAcentral's name for it is "partial 16S ribosomal RNA". It matches the Rfam family "Bacterial small subunit ribosomal RNA", at positions 338 to 795 of the family's 1533-position model. Lineage: Bacteria; Pseudomonadati; Pseudomonadota; Gammaproteobacteria; Oceanospirillales; Halomonadaceae. The record is from RNAcentral.